This 71-nucleotide transfer RNA is filed under the name Dicamptodon aterrimus (Idaho giant salamander). Its description in RNAcentral is "tRNA-Ser". It matches the Rfam family "tRNA". Rfam says of the family: Transfer RNA (tRNA) molecules are approximately 80 nucleotides in length. Their secondary structure includes four short double-helical elements and three loops (D, anti-codon, and T loops). Lineage: Eukaryota; Metazoa; Chordata; Amphibia; Caudata; Dicamptodontidae. The record is from RNAcentral.
AAGAAGGUGACAGAUUGGUUAUGUGAUUAACUUGAAAUUAAUCUAGUGGAGUUCGAUUCUCUCUCUUCUUG